This 446-nucleotide ribosomal RNA is filed under the name uncultured bacterium. RNAcentral's name for it is "SSU rRNA". It matches the Rfam family "Bacterial small subunit ribosomal RNA", at positions 26 to 518 of the family's 1533-position model. The record is from RNAcentral.
AGAGCGAACGCUGGCGGCAGGCUUAACGCAUGCAAGUCGAACGGACUCUUCGGAGUUAGUGGCGGACGGGUGAGUAACACGUGGGAACGUGCCUUUAGGUUCGGAACAACACAGGGAAACUUGUGCUAAUACCGGAUAAGCCUUUCGAGGGAAAGAUUUAUCGCCUUUAGAGCGGCCCGCGUCUGAUUAGCUAGUUGGUGAGGUAAAGGCUCACCAAGGCUACGAUCAGUAGCUGGUCUGAGAGGAUGGCCAGCCACAUUGGGACUGAGACACGGCCCAAACUCCUACGGGAGGCAGCAGUGGGGAAUCUUGCGCAAUGGGCGAAAGCCUGACGCAGCCAUGCCGCGUGGAUGAUGAAGGUCUUAGGAUUGUAAAAUCCUUUCAGCGGGGACGAUAAUGAUGGUACCCGCAGAAGAAGCCCCGGCUAACUUCGCGCCAGCAGCCGC